RNAcentral lists this ribosomal RNA (587 nucleotides) under Hydrogenophaga sp. SBR9. RNAcentral describes it as "bacterial SSU rRNA". It matches the Rfam family "Bacterial small subunit ribosomal RNA", at positions 84 to 667 of the family's 1533-position model. The record is from RNAcentral. Lineage: Bacteria; Pseudomonadati; Pseudomonadota; Betaproteobacteria; Burkholderiales; Comamonadaceae.
GGCGCUGACGAGUGGCGAACGGGUGAGUAAUGCAUCGGAACGUGCCCAGUCGUGGGGGAUAACGCAGCGAAAGCUGCGCUAAUACCGCAUACGAUCUGUGGAUGAAAGCGGGGGACCUUCGGGCCUCGCGCGAUUGGAGCGGCCGAUGUCAGAUUAGGUAGUUGGUGGGGUAAAGGCUCACCAAGCCGACGAUCUGUAGCUGGUCUGAGAGGACGACCAGCCACACUGGGACUGAGACACGGCCCAGACUCCUACGGGAGGCAGCAGUGGGGAAUUUUGGACAAUGGGGGCAACCCUGAUCCAGCAAUGCCGCGUGCAGGAAGAAGGCCUUCGGGUUGUAAACUGCUUUUGUACGGAACGAAAAGGCUCUGGUUAAUACCUGGGGCACAUGACGGUACCGUAAGAAUAAGCACCGGCUAACUACGUGCCAGCAGCCGCGGUAAUACGUAGGGUGCAAGCGUUAAUCGGAAUUACUGGGCGUAAAGCGUGCGAGGCGGUGCUGUAAGACAGGCGUGAAAUCCCCGGGCUUAACCUGGGAAUGGCGCUUGUGACUGCAUUGGCUGGAGUGUGGCAGAGGGGGAUGGAAU